CUGCGCCACAAGUGGGAACCAUUUUUAUUGGGUCUAAAGCGUCCGUAGCCGGUUUUGUAAAUUCUCUGUGAAAUUGACCUGCUUAACAGGUCAGCGUGCAGAGAAGACUGCUUAACUUGGGACCGGGAGAGGUAUGAGGUAUUCUGGGGGGAGCGGUAAAAUGUUAUAAUCCUCAGAGGACUACCAAUGGCGAAGGCAUUAUACCAGAACGGAUCCGACGGUGAGGGACGAAAGCCAGGGCAGCGAACCGGAUUAGAUACCCGAGUAGUCC
RNAcentral lists this ribosomal RNA (271 nucleotides) under uncultured archaeon. RNAcentral's name for it is "partial 16S ribosomal RNA". It matches the Rfam family "Archaeal small subunit ribosomal RNA", at positions 477 to 747 of the family's 1478-position model. The record is from RNAcentral.